GAGUUUGAUUCAUGGCUCAGGAUGAACGCUAGCUACAGGCUUAACACAUGCAAGUCGAGGGGAAACGACAUCGAAAGCUUGCUUUUGAUGGGCGUCGACCGGCGCACGGGUGAGUAACGCGUAUCCAACCUGCCCACCACUUGGGGAUAACCUUGCGAAAGUAAGACUAAUACCCAAUGACGUCUCUAGAAGACAUCUGAAAGAGAUUAAAGAUUUAUCGGUGAUGGAUGGGGAUGCGUCUGAUUAGCUUGUUGGCGGGGUAACGGCCCACCAAGGCGACGAUCAGUAGGGGUUCGUGAGAGGAAGGUCCCCACAUUGGAACUGAGACACGGUCCAACUACCUACGGGAGGCA
This 353-nucleotide ribosomal RNA is filed under the name uncultured bacterium. RNAcentral's name for it is "bacterial SSU rRNA". It matches the Rfam family "Bacterial small subunit ribosomal RNA", at positions 9 to 350 of the family's 1533-position model. The record is from RNAcentral.